Molecule: ribosomal RNA, 724 nt
Filed under: Acaulospora paulinae
Lineage: Eukaryota; Fungi; Glomeromycota; Glomeromycetes; Diversisporales; Acaulosporaceae
Description: eukaryotic LSU rRNA
Rfam family: Eukaryotic large subunit ribosomal RNA
Source: RNAcentral
GCAUAUCAAUAAGCGGAGGAAAAGAAACUAACAAGGAUUCCCUUAGUAACGGCGAGUGAAGCGGGAAGAGCUCAAAUUUUAAAUCUCCGAGGUUUUCCUUGGCGAGUUGUAAUUUGAAGAGAGUGUUUUGACGUUCGGGUUCAAUCCAAAUCCUUUGGGAUAAGGUAUCAUAGAGGGUGAGAAUCCCGUUUAUGAUUGAAUCUCGAGUGUCGCUUAAUUCACUUUCCAAGAGUCGAGUUGUUUGGGAUUGCAGCUCAAAACGGGUGGUAAAUUUCACCUAAGGCUAAAUAUGUGCAAGAGACCGAUAGCGAACAAGUACCGUGAGGGAAAGAUGAAAAGAACUUUGAAAAGAGAGUUAAAUAGUACGUGAAAUUGUUGAAAGGGAAACGAUUGAAGUCAGUCAUGCUAGUGAGGAAUCAACCUGAUGGUGCUUGGGUUCUCCCUCGUACUUUCCGGUGCACUUUCUCACCCGGCAGGUUAGCAUCAAUUUCGGUUAUCAUAAAAAAUUUGAGAGAAUGUGGCUUUCCUUCGGGAAAGUGUUAUAGAUCUCGAUCUAUGUGGUGACCGGGAUUGAGGAUUGCAGCGGAUACCCUCGUGGCUCGUCACCUGGCUUCUGACGGUUACCCCGCUUUCGAUAGCUCGCUAACGUUAGUGGGACUCGAUUGUCUAGAUGUCAGAGUGAUUGAUUUUCGCUAAGGAUGCUGACGUAAUGGCUUUAAACGAC